This 319-nucleotide long non-coding RNA is filed under the name Elaeis guineensis (African oil palm). RNAcentral's name for it is "long non-coding RNA (EGUI_LNC064761)". The record is from RNAcentral. Lineage: Eukaryota; Viridiplantae; Streptophyta; Magnoliopsida; Arecales; Arecaceae.
CGUGAAUGAAGAAGAAGGCUACGAUCAAGGGUUGAUCGAGGUUCUACUGGAGAUCUGAUCGAAAGCUAAUCUAAUAGCUUGUUGAUCUUCUUGGAGAUGAUGAAUCAAAGUUGAGAAAGCAUCCUAGUCCAAGUCUUAAUGGAUAUCUGUAAAGAUCAGAUACAUGUGCAGCUCAACAGUGAACCUCAACUCCACGAUCAUCGAACAACGGUGUUCACUAUCCAUGCAAAGGUGAUGAUGCGAUCAUCAUGAUAAUAAUCUGAUUUAAAAUUAUUUUAAAUUCUCUUAAUCUUAGAUUCAUGAAUGAUCUGGCACAGAU